Molecule: ribosomal RNA, 498 nt
Filed under: uncultured bacterium
Lineage: Bacteria
Description: partial 16S ribosomal RNA
Rfam family: Bacterial small subunit ribosomal RNA
Source: RNAcentral
GACGAACGCUGGCGGCGUGCCUAAUACAUGCAAGUCGAACGAGAGCGACCGGUGCUUGCACUGGUCAAUCUAGUGGCGAACGGGUGAGUAACACGUGGGUAACCUGCCCAUCAGAGGGGGAUAACAUUCGGAAACGGAUGCUAAAACCGCAUAGGUCUUCGAACCGCAUGGUUUGAAGAGGAAAAGAGGCGCAAGCUUCUGCUGAUGGAUGGACCCGCGGUGCAUUAGCUAGUUGGUGAGGUAACGGCUCACCAAGGCCGUGAUGCAUAGCCGACCUGAGAGGGUGAUCGGCCACAUUGGGACUGAGACACGGCCCAAACUCCUACGGGAGGCAGCAGUAGGGAAUCUUCCGCAAUGGACGCAAGUCUAACGGAGCAACGCCGCGUGAGUGAAGAAGGUUUUCGGAUCGUAAAACUCUGUUGUUAGAGAAGAACAAGUGCUAGAGUAACUGUUAGCGCCUUGACGGUAUCUAACCAGAAAGCCACGGCUAACUACGUG